This 228-nucleotide ribosomal RNA is filed under the name uncultured bacterium. RNAcentral describes it as "partial 16S ribosomal RNA". It matches the Rfam family "Bacterial small subunit ribosomal RNA", at positions 28 to 253 of the family's 1533-position model. The record is from RNAcentral.
GACGAACGUUGGCGGCGUGCCUAAUACAUGCAAGUCAACUGAAAUACCGGUAGCAAUACUGGUAUGGAGGUGGCGCACGGGUGAGUAACACGUAGGUAAUCUGCCUUCAGGUCUGACAUAACCCAUCGAAAGGUGAGCUAAUAUCAGAUGAUGCAGCGGCUUGACAUCAAGACAGUUGUUAAAGCUUCGGCGCCUGAAGAUGAGCCUGCGUCUGAUUAGCUAGUUGGC